AGAACGAACGCUGGCGGCAUGCCUAAUACAUGCAAGUCGAACGAACACUUCGGUGUUAGUGGCGCACGGGUGCGUAACGCGUGGGAAUCUGCCCUUGGGUUCGGAAUAACAGUUGGAAACGACUGCUAAUACCGGAUGAUAUCGAAAGAUCAAAGAUUUAUCGCCCAGGGAUGAGCCCGCGUAGGAUUAGCUAGUUGGUGAGGUAAAGGCUCACCAAGGCGACGAUCC
RNAcentral lists this ribosomal RNA (228 nucleotides) under uncultured soil bacterium. RNAcentral's name for it is "partial 16S ribosomal RNA". It matches the Rfam family "Bacterial small subunit ribosomal RNA", at positions 26 to 282 of the family's 1533-position model. The record is from RNAcentral.